This is a long non-coding RNA of Capsicum annuum, 586 nucleotides long. RefSeq lists it as uncharacterized. Lineage: Eukaryota; Viridiplantae; Streptophyta; Magnoliopsida; Solanales; Solanaceae. The record is from RefSeq and is a predicted model, not a curated record. The transcript is spliced from 3 exons.
UAUGGUUUUACAUUUUCGUAGCAUCUCAUAAAUUACAAGCAAUUCCAUGCAACGAAAUUUGAGAUUCGACUUUGGCAAAUGCCGGAUAAAUUGAAACCUGCGAUACCAUAUUCAUUAAAUAUGGUUUUACAGGAUUCAAAGUGAACGGGAUGAUAUUAUUAAAAAGAAAUCAUGGUUAAGGAAUCUAAUAUAAACAAGAAGGAUGAAUACGACAAGGCUGUAAAAUUUGCUGAUGAUGAAGCUCUUUGCAAGGAAUACUGCCAUCCAUCUCUAAAAUAAACUACUCCCAUAAAAAAUAAUCUAUCAGGUUGUGGAUCAUCUCUAACAGAGAUCAGAAGCAAAUCUAGAGAGAAAUUACCAAUGCAGGAAUAUAAUGAUGAAUGUAAUGACAAACAAUUCACCAACAAGGUUCGCAAAGUGAUUAAGAAGGAAAAAAAACAUGAGUAGGAAAGUCCAUGUUCAACUGUAAUCUUUUCUGCUAAUUUUAAUUUCAGUUUAUUUUGUAAUGAAUACAAGAUCUUUUAGUUAUGAACAAGUACUAUCUUAGAUAUUUUCAUAAUGUAAUGAAGAAUAUGUGUGGUUGUUU